ACUGCUCAGUAACACGUGGAUAACCUGCCCUUGGGUCCGGCAUAACCCCGGGAAACUGGGGAUAAUUCCGGAUAACGCACAUAUGCUGGAAUGCUUUAUGCGUAAAAUGGAUUCGUCUGCCCAAGGAUGGGUCUGCGGCCUAUCAGGUAGUAGUGGGUGUAAUGUACCUACUAGCCUACAACGGGUACGGGUUGUGAGAGCAAGAGCCCGGAGAUGGAUUCUGAGACAUGAAUCCAGGCCCUACGGGGCGCAGCAGGCGCGAAAACUUUACAAUGCGGGAAACCGUGAUAAGGGGACACCGAGUGCUAGCAUCAUAUGCUGGCUGUCCAGGUGUGUAAAAUACACCUGUUAGCAAGGGCCGGGCAAGACCGGUGCCAGCCGCCGCGGUAACACCGGCGGCCCGAGUGGUGAUCGUGAUUAUUGGGUCUAAAGGGUCCGUAGCCGGUUUGGUCAGUCCUCCGGGAAAUCUGACAGCUCAACUGUUAGGCUUUCGGGGGAUACUGCCAGACUUGGAACCGGGAGAGGUAAGAGGUACUACAGGGGUAGGAGUGAAAUCUUGUAAUCCCUGUGGGACCACCUGUGGCGAAGGCGUCUUACCAGAACGGGUUCGACGGUGAGGGACGAAAGCUGGGGGCACGAACCGGAUUAGAUACCCGGGUAGUCCCAGCCGUAAACGAUGCUCGCUAGGUGUCAGGCAUGGCGCGACCGUGUCUGGUGCCGCAGGGAAGCCGUGAAGCGAGCCACCUGGGAAGUACGGCCGCAAGGCUGAAACUUAAAGGAAUUGGCGGGGGAGCACAACAACGGGUGGAGCCUGCGGUUUAAUUGGACUCAACGCCGGACAACUCACCGGGGACGACAGCAAUAUGUAGGCCAGGCUGAGGACCUUGCCUGAAUCGCUGAGAGGAGGUGCAUGGCCGUCGCCAGUUCGUACUGUGAAGCAUCCUGUUAAGUCAGGCAACGAGCGAGACCCGUGCC
This 975-nucleotide ribosomal RNA is filed under the name uncultured archaeon. Its description in RNAcentral is "bacterial SSU rRNA". It matches the Rfam family "Archaeal small subunit ribosomal RNA", at positions 85 to 1058 of the family's 1478-position model. The record is from RNAcentral.